RNAcentral lists this ribosomal RNA (497 nucleotides) under uncultured bacterium. Its description in RNAcentral is "partial 16S ribosomal RNA". It matches the Rfam family "Bacterial small subunit ribosomal RNA", at positions 28 to 507 of the family's 1533-position model. The record is from RNAcentral.
GAUGAACGCUGGCGGCGUGCCUAAUACAUGCAAGUCGAGCGAACAGACGAGGAGCUUGCUCCUCUGACGUUAGCGGCGGACGGGUGAGUAACACGUGGAUAACCUACCUAUAAGACUGGGAUAACUUCGGGAAACCGGAGCUAAUACCGGAUAAUAUAUUGAACCGCAUGGUUCAAUAGUGAAAGACGGUUUUGCUGUCACUUAUAGAUGGAUCCGCGCCGCAUUAGCUAGUUGGUAAGGUAACGGCUUACCAAGGCAACGAUGCGUAGCCGACCUGAGAGGGUGAUCGGCCACACUGGAACUGGGACACGGUCCAGGCUCCUACGGGAGGCAGCAGUAGGGAAUCUUCCGCAAUGGGCGAAAGCCUGACGGAGCAACGCCGCGUGAGUGAUGAAGGUCUUCGGAUCGUAAAACUCUGUUAUUAGGGAAAAACAAAUGUGUAAGUAACUAUGCACGUCUUGACGGUACCUAAUCAGAAAGCCACGGCUAACUACGUG